UUGUCAUUCUAGGUCUACUGCUGUGCGACCGCAGGAAAGAAAGUCUACCUUUGAGGACUUUAGUCUCCUCAGAUGUCAACUCUGAUGAGAGAGGCUGAGCUCAGGGCAGGGCUGAUCCAUACCUCUUCUCUUCUAUAACUUGGCACUUAGGACUGGGUUCUUAAAGCUCAGAAUUUAAGCCAUAUUUGAGGCUGACUCAGGGAUAAAAGUGUCUUGAGCAGUUACUAAUGUCUCUGAAAAGCAACACGAUUACUUUCCUUACACAAAACCAUCUCAGAUGAACUUCUGAGUUAAAUAUUUCUAUAAUUCUUUGACUUCAGAAGGUUUGUAUGUCCUGCUGAUGAAAACUAAGAAGAUUCAGUUGAAUGCUUUCAUUUUCUAAAAAGUCAGUAUGUAUUAAAAUUUCUUGUGUGAUUUGUAAAUGCACAUGAAAUUGAACAACUGUUGACUGAAGAGCUCUGUGGUGACAAUAGGGCUCAAUCUUAGGGAAAUGUGAAAAUCCACCAAAAAGAGCAAACCUAUCCAAAGCAAGUGCCCUUGCUUACUGACCACAUAUUAAUAAUAAUAAUAAUAAUUAAGUUUAUUUAUCAUGAUAAAUUUAAUUAAUACUUUAAAUCUAUGUUUAAAUUUUUAAAGUAUAGUUGGUUUACAGUGUUCUGCCAAUUUCUGCUGAACAAUAAAUUGACCCAGUCAUAUAUAUAUAUUCUUUUUCUCAUACUUUCUUCUGUCGUGUUCUGUCAUAUAUAUAUAUAUAUAUAUAUACAUGUUCUUUUUCUCAUACUUUCUUCUGUCGUGUUCUGUCACAAGAAAUUGGAUAUAGUUCCCUGUGCUAUACAGCAGGAUCUCGUUGCUUAUUCAUUGUAAAUGUAAUAGUUUGCAUGUACUAACCCUAAACUCCCAGUCCCUGCCAGUGUCUCCCCCUCCUUUGCCCUCCCCCUUGGCAGCGCAAGUCUAUUCUCCACAUCUGUGAGUCUUUUUCUGUUCUGUAGAUGGGUUCAUUUGUAUCACAUUUCAGAUUCCACGUGAAAGUGAUAUAAUAUAGUAUCUGUCUUUCUCUUUCUGACUUAGUAUGAGAAUCUCUAGCUGCAUCCAUGUUGCCGCAAGUUGCGCUGUUUUGCUCUUUUUUUUCUUGUUGAGUAGGAUUCCAUUGUGUAUGUUUGCCACAUCUCCUUAAUCCAUUCACAUGUCAAUGGAGGAUGUUUCCAUGUCUUGGCUAUUGUGGAUAGUGCUGCUAUGAACACAUGGGUACAUCUUUUUGAAAUAUAGUUUUGUCUGGAUAUAUGCCCAAGAGCAGGAUUGAUAGAUCAUAUGGUAGUUCUAUCUUUAGUUUUCUGAGGAACCUCCAUACUGUUUUCCAUAGUGGUUGUACCAAUUUACAUUCCCACCAACAGUGUAGGAGGGUUCCCUUUUCUUCACACCCUCUCCAGCAUGUUAUUUGCAGAUUUAUUAAUGAUGAAGUUUUGCAUGGGGAUAACUUAGCCCAUCAUAUUUCCAAAGUUAAGGGUCCUUUCUUUCACAGUAGUCUAUGAGCCUGUGAUUGUAUUUCUAUCAUGCCAGAUGUCAGAGCCAUGGGUGAUGCUAAUAAUGAGAUUUAAUGAGUAUUUCUCUGAGCCAGGAUCCAUCCAAAGGGCUUUAUACAACUCAGUUAAUUUCUCAACAAAUCUAAUAAAUCAGUAUUUUUAUCAAAGUAUUAUUAUCAUCUUCUCAAUGAAGAAACUGAAGCACAGAAAAUUUAUACAACUUACCCAAGGUCACAUAGCUAGUAGACUGAAGAGCUCUUAACCUGCUAGUGACCAUAAUUAACAUUUUGAGGGUCUCCUCUGCACCAAGCAUUUUGCCAGAAGCAUUCCAGAGAUGAUCCUGUUCCAGGUCUGUCUUAGAGAUGAGAUAACUGAGGUUCAGUUUGCCUAAGUCACAAGUCCACUGUCAACCCAGCUGGUGCAUCUCCUAGCUGAGAACCUCUCAUCUGAAAGAAUUUGAUGAGUUCUCCAUAUUAAAGGCCUUUCUUCUGUGAGUGGUUAUACAACUGCAGAUAUUCCUUUUGCUAAAUCAAAGUGGAGAAAAUGCAUGUGUUGAAAUCUGGGUCCCAUUUACUGCUCGAGAUUUAUAGAAUGAUAGAUUGCAGAAUGUCUAGAAAUGCGUCUUGAAUGAGCAUGUGCUAUAGUCUUGCAGACGUUUACACCCUGAACAGCUGGCUGUUUAAUCAUCAUGUGGGUCAAAGCUCAAAGGCUACCUCCUCAGGAGACAUUCUGUGAUCCCCCUACAUUAGGUUUUUAAAGUACCCCCCCACCCCCGCAAACACACUCUUCCAGGUAACCACACACACAACUGCAGUUACGUUUCAUUCACAUUGUUUUGUUGUCUCCUGAGCAUGUAACACUAUUGAUAUUGUCCUAUUUUUUUUUUUUUUAACUAGAACAUAGUUUCAUGAGAGCAGAGAGCUAGCAGUUUUGUUGACCACUCCAUCUCUAGAACUUAGGACAGUACAUGUGACACCACGCGCAACCUGAGAUUUUUAUUGAAUGAAUGAAUUUUUCUUAUUCUCCUU
RNAcentral lists this long non-coding RNA (2548 nucleotides) under Sus scrofa (pig). RNAcentral's name for it is "lncRNA (ENSSSCG00065001653.1)". The record is from RNAcentral. Lineage: Eukaryota; Metazoa; Chordata; Mammalia; Artiodactyla; Suidae.